AGUGAACGCUGGCGGUAGGCCUAACACAUGCAAGUCGAACGGCAGCACAGUAAGAGCUUGCUCUUACGGGUGGCGAGUGGCGUACGGGUGAGGAAUACAUCGGAAUCUACUUUUUCGCGGGGGAUAACGUAUGGAAACUUACGCUAAUACCGCAUACGACCUACGGGUGAAAGCAGGGGAUCUUCGGACCUUGCGCGAUUGAAUGAGCCGAUGUCGGAUUAGCUAGUUGGCGGGGUAAAGGCCCACCAAGGCGACGAUCCGUAGCUGGUCUGAGAGGAUGAUCAGCCACACUGGAACUGAGACACGGUCCAGACUCCUACGGGAGGCAGCAGUGGGGAAUAUUGGACAAUGGGCGAAAGCCUGAUCCAGCAAUACCGCGUGAGUGAAGAAGGCCUUCGGGUUGUAAAGCCCUUUUGUUGGGAAAGAAAAGCAGCAGGUUAAUACCCCGCUGUUCUGACGGUACCCAAAGAAUAAGCACCGGCUAACUUCGUG
Molecule: ribosomal RNA, 492 nt
Filed under: uncultured bacterium
Lineage: Bacteria
Description: partial 16S ribosomal RNA
Rfam family: Bacterial small subunit ribosomal RNA
Source: RNAcentral